GUAUAUAGUUUAUAGGUACAAGACCCAAUGAUACAUUCUGUUACAUUCUUUGGGGUAUAUGAAAAACAUAGGCCUAGAUAAUUACAAGGAAAGCCGACUGUGAAGCACAGCGAUCCCACCGACCGAGUUGCCUCGGAAAAAAUUUUCUAGGUCUACAAAAGGUGCACAGGUGGAGAUAUAAAGAUGAUGAGCGUGCACAUACCCCGGUAAAGGGGUCAGCUACAACACAUCAAGAUUAUUCAAUAAUGAUCCUUCCGCAGGUUCACCUACGGAAA
This 275-nucleotide unclassified non-coding RNA is filed under the name uncultured fungus. RNAcentral's name for it is "sequence contains ITS1". The record is from RNAcentral. Lineage: Eukaryota; Fungi.